UGCAUCCCAGGCCAGCAGGAGCUUUGUGAGCUGCAGGCAUGGCUAUGGUGCGCCUGUUCCACACCCAGCAGGCGUGACCAGAGUCUCGUGUGUGCUGACCACAGGAGCCAAGCCUUUUCCACUGUGUGGACUCAUGUGGCCGACUCAUGUGGCCAAGGCUAGGCUUGGUCACCCAGGACCCUCACCACAUGACCCCAGCCAAUCGAGGGGACAGUUCAAGGAGGAGGAGACCCCUAUUACACAGGAAGCACAUUUGUGUUCAAGUGAAGGCAGAGGCGUCCACCCCAAGUCACCAGAGCGCAGGUGCAGAGAGGAAAAGCUGUCAGCUAGUGCCAGCCUCCAAGGGCCAGCGCUGCCCUUCAACAGCUGGAGGCACCACUGUGCGAGGCUUUCCACACCGGCCUCCCUCAGGAACAAGACAUCGUCACCAGGCAGGGGUGAGGUAUGGGCUCCAGGACUGGC
Molecule: small RNA, 462 nt
Filed under: Pan troglodytes (chimpanzee)
Lineage: Eukaryota; Metazoa; Chordata; Mammalia; Primates; Hominidae
Description: processed transcript
Source: RNAcentral